UUGAACGCUGGCGGCAGGCCUAACACAUGCAAGUCGCACGGUAACAGGAAGCAGCUUGCUGCUUCGCUGACGAGUGGCGGACGGGUGAGUAAUGUCUGGGAAACUGCCUGAUGGAGGGGGAUAACUACUGGAAACGGUAGCUAAUACCGCAUAACGUCGCAAGACCAAAGAGGGGGACCUUAGGGCCUCUUGCCAUCGGAUGUGCCCAGAUGGGAUUAGCUAGUAGGUGGGGUAACGGCUCACCUAGGCGACGAUCCCUAGCUGGUCUGAGAGGAUGACCAGCCACACUGGAACUGAGACACGGUCCAGACUCCUACGGGAGGCAGCAGUGGGGAAUAUUGCACAAUGGGCGCAAGCCUGAUGCAGCCAUGCCGCGUGUAUGAAGAAGGCCUUCGGGUUGUAAAGUACUUUCAGCGGGGAGGAAGGGAGUAAAGUUAAUACCUUUGCUCAUUGACGUUACCCGCAGAAGAAGCACCGGCUAACUCCGUG
RNAcentral lists this ribosomal RNA (489 nucleotides) under uncultured bacterium. Its description in RNAcentral is "partial 16S ribosomal RNA". It matches the Rfam family "Bacterial small subunit ribosomal RNA", at positions 30 to 507 of the family's 1533-position model. The record is from RNAcentral.